CUCUCUCUCUCUCUGAGGCUGCACUUUCUCUUGUUCACUCACCCUCUUGUCUUCUUUGUGUACAUAGUUUGUAUACCACCAAUAGCUGCACAGCAUUAAGAUAUGAGGCUGAGGAUUAUUGUAACACUUAUGAAUAAACUAUUUACAUAUUGCCCCCUAUGUCACUGGCACCAGAUAAGACUAAGGACACAACUAAGGUCACAUCAUGUGUAAAUUUAAGCAGUCAGUAUUUGGUCGAUUAUCUUUAAAGCCAAGUUUAGGGAAUGUAUAAAAGUAAGUUCUGUUCAUUCUCAAAUAAUGUUUCUUGUUCUCAGUUCAUAAUGGGGUGUUAUCACCUAAAAAUUUCCAAGUUUUUAAAGACAAUGUAAAUCAGCAGAGAAAGAUCUGCUUUGAAUAUAAGGAGUGUGAGAAGCAGAUGGCCUAAUUAUGUGUUUGAGAAAGAAUCCAAUUCAACAAAUACAAAAAUGUUCAUUUUACCCCUCUAUUUUUCCUAUAAAACAAAUUGAUUACAAAAAAAAAUAAUGCCAAGAGAACCUUGAAACUUAAGACUGCUCCUUUCAGAGUACUGGCAUCCUGAUAUCAAGGAAAGGGUUGGCAGAGGAGAAACUGAGAAAAAAGGCUGGCAGAGGAGAUUAAUUUGGAAAAAAAGUAAUACAAGGUGUCACUGCCUGGCAAAACUAAUGGGAGGAGAAGAGCCAAACUGCCAAGCACUGCACCUGCAAGAUGGUCCUGUGCCACACCAAAUAAUGAAGAUCUUUUCCCCAGGAGUCUGCUCAACUUCUGUUGAAUUACUAUGACUACAGGAUCUGUAAUUCUAUACAUUAAUAAAACUUACAAACUGGU
Molecule: long non-coding RNA, 843 nt
Organism: Eriocheir sinensis (Chinese mitten crab)
Lineage: Eukaryota; Metazoa; Arthropoda; Malacostraca; Decapoda; Varunidae
Exons: 2
Source: RefSeq, a predicted model, not a curated record